Molecule: transfer RNA, 65 nt
Filed under: Taenia solium (pork tapeworm)
Lineage: Eukaryota; Metazoa; Platyhelminthes; Cestoda; Cyclophyllidea; Taeniidae
Description: tRNA-Val
Source: RNAcentral
UGUGAUGUAGUUUAUUGAAAAUACUUGUUUUACACACAAGUGAACUCUUGUUGGGAGCUUUACUA